CUGUGAGAGGGAUGAUGUAUUACCAUAGAGCACUUAGGAUGCUGGCGUUCCUUGAUUCAGCUUCCGAGAUGGAUAUCAGGG
Thalictrum thalictroides is the source of this 81-nucleotide non-coding RNA. NCBI's taxonomy places the organism in Eukaryota, Viridiplantae, Streptophyta, Magnoliopsida, Ranunculales, Ranunculaceae. The record is from the annotation of a GenBank genome assembly.